UUCCCGCUUGAACAUAGUUUGUUUUCAUUAAAUUAUCUCCCUUUGAAAGUCACCUAUGCGUUUGUAAGCAAUGUCGCAAUAUGAAAUGUUUUCAUCCUGUUGACUUCAACCCAAAAGUGCUAGCGUGUACACUUGAUGAAAUGACAAUAUUUAAGAAUAGAUAAACUCCUAAAUAAUAGUAUUUAUCAAAAACUUCUACUCGGAUACUGUCAAAUGUUCAAUGUGUUUAUUAGACGUAAUGACAACAGAAAGUCACAGCAUAUUUCACACGGGUCACCCGAAAAUACCGUUUAAUUUACUUCUUCUAAUUAUUUAUAGAGGCGAGUAGAAGUUUUUAGUUACUUUAUUACACAACCUGUCUAUUGCACCCUUUACGCAGGAAAACAAACCAGUCUACACACUAGCACUUUUGAGUUUAAAGUUUACACUGUUAUAAAUAGAAUUUUUGAUGUCACGUGAUAAAAACAAUAUUUUUAGAAUUUUUUUUGGUGGAAAAUGAAAGUAGACAUAUAUUUCAUUAAACGUUAUAUAAAGAUGGCAUGCUACGCAUCUGCAUUACAUUUUAAAGUGACCGAUUUGCAAAGGCAUUUUUUUGCGUCAGUUUCUUAUGAUUUUUGAGAAUACAGCAUUAACCUACCCGCGUAGUUUUCUUCCAUAUCCAGAAAUCAACGCCACUUUGCUUAUUUGAAUAUAAUACUAAAGAAAUCGGAUACGGGUCACGGAAAUUACAUUAAAAUGAUAGGGAAUUUUGAAAAAAUGUCUGUUUUAAUUUUAAUUUAAGUGAUAGACAGGUUGCCGGGGCAGAAAAUGAAUAUACACAACAAUAUACACCAUUUAAACGAAACAUAAUGACUGUUGUUGCAAAAAUACAGGUUCCUGAGCUAUUUUAAAAAUCGAAGCGAGAGGCCUUUUACAUUGCAGUGUAAAAUACAGGCAAAAAUGGCUGAAACGUCAAAUUUGCAAACUUCGUGUUGAAAAUUGGCUUACAAGGUCAUUACAAAAACAGGUUGCCGGGGUGAAAUAUGAAACUUGAAUUUCCAAAGAAUAAGCAAGUCCAAACCUUGUAUGUGUAGUCGUUGAACUCUAGGUUCCCACGUAAAAUUAAAAUGUCACUAUUUCAAGAAGAAUAAACUCACGAAAGCACGAAAAAUUC
This 1153-nucleotide long non-coding RNA is filed under the name Mytilus galloprovincialis (Mediterranean mussel). Lineage: Eukaryota; Metazoa; Mollusca; Bivalvia; Mytilida; Mytilidae. The record is from RNAcentral.